Long non-coding RNA from Onychostoma macrolepis, 1994 nucleotides. RefSeq lists it as uncharacterized. NCBI's taxonomy places the organism in Eukaryota, Metazoa, Chordata, Actinopteri, Cypriniformes, Cyprinidae. The record is from RefSeq and is a predicted model, not a curated record. The transcript is spliced from 4 exons.
GUUUGCAAUAGAUAAGAGAUGUGUUCUCCAGCUAAGUAUGUAAAACGCUCCUACGACCAUGCAACCCAGAGCACCAUUAAAGCCUGAGAGGCCAGAGUACAGAAAGCUGUGCUGCACUGACAUAGACAGACCUGCAGAAGGCAACAGAGAGAACUUGGGUCUAUACAGUUAUUGACCAUGGCUUAGGGCAGGGGUGUCAAACUCAGUUCCUGGAGGGCCGGAGCCCUGCAGAGUUUAGAUGCAACCCUAAUUAAACACACUGAUCCAGCUAAUCAUGUCAUUUAGGCUUAUUUGAAAACUACAUGUUUUGUGUGUUGGAGCAGGGUUGGAACUAAACUCUGCAGGGCUGCGGUCUUCCAGGAACUGAGUUUGACACCCUUGGCUUAGGGGGUCAAAGCUUUGCUACUGUUAGACUAAUGGCUGGUCCACUUUGACAGGUUUGUUUUGUUUUAUGUGCCAUUUUGGGGCUGAAAUAUAGUACUACAAUAAAAGACUGGCAUGUUAAAAAUUACUUAGCCCGAAUUUGCAAUAGGCUGCUGCAGCAGCGAUGACAUAUUUUUGUAGCCCAAAGCCAGAAACAAGUUAACUUCGGUUCCAUUAUCCUGAAGUCAAUUAUGAAUGGAUUUUAGGUCAAAUGCCUGAAAUAAGGUCUGCAGUUUUUUCAUGUGUUAUUUUAUUACAUAAAAUACAUCAGUAACACUCUGUUAUUUAAAAAAAAAAAAAAAAGCUUUUAUUUGUCUUCAAAGACAACUAUUGCUAACAAAUGGCUAAAUGGGACUACAGAGGUUGUCUGGGACAAUAAAUGUAAUCAUGAUCAUACUCAACAGGAAAACUCAUCCAUUCGCUCCUGUUUAUAAUUGCACUUUUGCUAACUAUUCCUACUCAAACUUUAAAAUAAAGAUCAAUAGAGUUAAUGGUGGUGAUGUUGAAAUCAUGUGACCAUGGUGUAGUUCAUUUAUAGCUUAUGUUUAGGUUUUCACUUCUGCUGAAUGUAUUAAAUUCAUAAAAGUUGUUCUCAGUUCAAAAGAUCAUGAUGAACAAAAUGUGUAAGAAUCACAAACUUCACAAAGCUUAUUUUCUGCAAUAGGAAAAAGUCCUUUUGGGUUUCUGCUGAGGGAACGAGGGCGAUGCUAACUUCCAGGUUAGCCUACAGAAAUACUUAGCAGCUGGUGGUAAAGAUGUGGCCGACUACACUAUUAUGCAAGCAAAAUGCCAUCUAUGGCUCUGUUGAUUGGCUAAAACUACUUUGUUUCUGGAACAGAGUGGCCAGGGAGUGAAUAUCACAGCAUCACAUUUUCUGGGACUGCAUAUAAUAUCUGAGCAACUGCCAUUGAGACGAAUAUGAACAGGAUGCUUGGUGCUAAUGCCAGAGCCCAGGAGGGCGUAGACAGCCAGAAUGGGUGAGAAGAUGAAAACAGCACCCAGAAUGAGCAGAGACGGGCCCAGAGUCUCACAUGCAAAGAUCUGCCCUACGCCCAACACCACCCCCUGCAGGAGCUGAUGGGAACAGCAAACACACCUUCAGAUGAGGCCUCUCCACCAAGACAAGCAGGCAGCAGAAGCCACCAGUACCAAUCUCCAGCAGAGCUGAACACUCCCAUCAGCAGAGCCACCAGCAUCCCAUUAAAACCAUGAAGGCCACUGGAAACCUCCUCACUGCAGACAGGUGUGAAGGCAGAUCUGCCUGAUGUGUUGGUGUUUGUGUGGUUUGACCACUGCCCAGUGCUCUUUAUGCUGACUUAUGAUGUACAACUGGAGAGAUGCCAGUUGACGCAUCAUAUUACCUGACGUCAGAACCUUAGUCAUCUUAUACAUUUGCAUGCACAGCACACACACGUACUUUUCACAAUUCCUGUCACUUUAUGAUUUCCCUCUCUCUGCCUGUCCUCUCACUUUUGACGUUUCUCUCCUAGCCUCAGCCUCAGUAUGACAUUUUCUUAAACUGCAUUCACACAAACCUAUGAGUAUGUGUAUAUCUGUACAUUUCUUUUGCU